UAAGCUAUUUAUUCAGAGAUGUUCAAGUUGUCAGUUACAAGAUGCCUGAGCCAGAAACGGACAAGUCUGGAGGAUCUUAAGAAAUUAGUCCUCCAGAAGUAUGAAUCCUACCUGGAGAAAUUGAGAAGCCACAACU
Molecule: long non-coding RNA, 136 nt
Filed under: Mustela putorius furo (domestic ferret)
Lineage: Eukaryota; Metazoa; Chordata; Mammalia; Carnivora; Mustelidae
Description: lncRNA (ENSMPUG00000027982.1)
Source: RNAcentral